Molecule: transfer RNA, 74 nt
Filed under: Aureispira sp. CCB-E
Lineage: Bacteria; Pseudomonadati; Bacteroidota; Saprospiria; Saprospirales; Saprospiraceae
Description: tRNA-Met
Rfam family: tRNA
About the family: Transfer RNA (tRNA) molecules are approximately 80 nucleotides in length. Their secondary structure includes four short double-helical elements and three loops (D, anti-codon, and T loops). Further hydrogen bonds mediate the characteristic L-shaped molecular structure. tRNAs have two regions of fundamental functional importance: the anti-codon, which is responsible for specific mRNA codon recognition, and the 3' end, to which the tRNAs corresponding amino acid is attached (by aminoacyl-tRNA synthetases). tRNAs cope with the degeneracy of the genetic code in two manners: having more than one tRNA (with a specific anti-codon) for a particular amino acid; and 'wobble' base-pairing, i.e. permitting non-standard base-pairing at the 3rd anti-codon position.
Source: RNAcentral
GGCGAGAUAGCUCAGUUGGUUAGAGCGCAGCACUCAUAAUGCUGAGGUCGGGGGUUCGAGUCUCCCUCCCGCUA